GAUGAACGCUGGCGGCGUGCCUAAUACAUGCAAGUCGAGCGAACAGACGAGGAGCUUGCUCCUCUGACGUUAGCGGCGGACGGGUGAGUAACACGUGGAUAACCUACCUAUAAGACUGGGAUAACUUCGGGAAACCGGAGCUAAUACCGGAUAAUAUAUUGAACCGCAUGGUUCAAUAGUGAAAGACGGUUUUGCUGUCACUUAUAGAUGGAUCCGCGCCGCAUUAGCUAGUUGGUAAGGUAACGGCUUACCAAGGCAACGAUGCGUAGCCGACCUGAGAGGGUGAUCGGCCACACUGGAACUGAGACACGGUCCAGACUCCUACGGGAGGCAGCAGUAGGGAAUCUUCCGCAAUGGGCGAAAGCCUGACGGAGCAACGCCGCGUGAGUGAUGAAGGUCUUCGGAUCGUAAAACUCUGUUAUUAGGGAAGAACAAAUGUGUAAGUAACUAUGCACGUCGUGACGGUACCUAAUCAGAAAGCCACGGCUAACUACG
Molecule: ribosomal RNA, 495 nt
Filed under: uncultured bacterium
Lineage: Bacteria
Description: partial 16S ribosomal RNA
Rfam family: Bacterial small subunit ribosomal RNA
Source: RNAcentral